AGGGGAUGCAGGAUGCAGCAGGGGGCUCAGGGCAGGACGUUGGGGUGCAGAAGGGGUGUGGGAUGUGGCAGGAGGCUCAGGGCAGGGGGUUGGGGUAUGGGGUGCAGGCUCCAGCCCAGCACCGCUUACCUAGAGUGGCUCCGGAGUGGCAGCGGUGUGCACCGGGGUCAGGGCAGGCUCCUUGCCUGCCCGCCUGCCCUGGCCCCUGGCCCUGCGCUGCUCCGUUCCAGGAAGCAGCUGGAACUGUGUCCCUGCAGCCCUUGGGGGAGGGGGAGGGGCUCAGGGCUCUAUGCGUGCGCUGCUCUUGCUGCUCCUCUAGGUACCUCCCACAAAGCUCCCAUUGGCCACGCUUCCCUGUUCCCAGCCAAUGGGAGCUGUGGGGGGUGGUGCCUGGAAGGAGCCAAUGCAGGAGCCCUCUGCCUCCUUCCCUUUCCCCCCCAGCCCAAAGGGGCGUGCUGCCAGCUGCUUCAGACAGCGACACGGGGCUCGCAACAUCACAGGGGGCAAUCUCACAGAUAUGAAGCCUUCACUGUCCCAUGGGAGGAAAAGAAGCAGACAUCGCAAUGGAGGGAAGUCAGGGGCUGAUGAAGAGAACUUCCAGGAAAACAAGUCCCUUGGAAAGUCAGGAAUGGACUAUCUCAUGUUAAGCCAGAGGGCCACCAUACUGUCAAGGGAUGACUAGCUGUUGCAGCAAUAUGGAUGUGUUAGUCUGACAAAGCAAGUUGAUGAACAUGGCCAAUUAUAAGGGAGCUGCUGUGGUUGACUGACUUCCUUCCCCGGCUGUAUUCAGUUAUUUCAGGUCCCUCAGAUACCUGCUGACGUUUUCAGAUUUUAAAAAUUCCAUAUAAACCUUCCAAGAGAUCAGCAGAAACUCUCCUGCAGACAACCGACUGCCUAGUAAGAAAUACGUGCUUCCAAUUAGCUAUCUACUUUAGGAUUUGAGUGAGUAGCUUGCCACCAUUCAUUAUUUCCCACACUGGGGAAGAGGUGAAGAGAAACUGCAAUGCAAAGGCAAGGAUGGAGAGGCGAUUGAAGGGAACUAGAGAGGCCAGCGGUUUGGGUGCAGCAUGAAGCAGGAGCAAGGGUGAAAGCUGU
This is a long non-coding RNA of Gopherus flavomarginatus (Mexican gopher tortoise), 1095 nucleotides long. RefSeq lists it as uncharacterized. The transcript is spliced from 3 exons. The record is from RefSeq and is a predicted model, not a curated record. Lineage: Eukaryota; Metazoa; Chordata; Testudines; Testudinidae.